CGGCUGGGGCCUUGGAUCUACAACUCUCUGGGCAGCCGCGCUAAGUUGUAUAGCCGCUUUUUUAAUCGUCUUCAUUGCCCUCACCCUGGGAAAGUUCCGCCGGAAGAUCCUUUUCAACCGAUCGCAAGAAAUGUGGAACCGAGGUGAAAGGUGCCCACCGGACGACUCGGCUAAAAGAGACUGCAAUCACGUGCGCCACGACCUAGUAGAAGGAAAUACCGAUUUGGGUACCGAGCUUGCCGCCUUCGAUCCUCCGGCCAUGAUCACCUUCAAGGACCCCAUCGUCAUGAAGCCCAACCUUAGCGGGAGCAACGGGGCCAUCCUGGUGUCUGCUCAUCCAAAGAUGUUCAUCCCGUCGCCGUCCUAACUGGAGGCCCCACGUGUGUGUACCGCCGCAGUUACCCGAAUUGGCAUUUCAGCCAAACUGGGCAACCAGCCCCGAUCAUCGCCUUCUUGGCAGACACACUUUGGCGCCAUGACGAACGACAGCUCAACCCAGGUAUGUACGACAGCUCAAGAUAUGUCUGUACAACUGCUCAGCUGUGUCUACGACAGAGCUAUGACUGUACGACGACUGUUCCAUGACUGUGCCACGGAGAAAACCUUGGUGGUGCCCCGCCUCAAGCUAUAUUUAUAUGAGGACUCAAGCCGUGCCACGGCUUAAGCCAUGACUUUAAGACGGCCCAAACCACGAAAAUUUCACGAUUCAAGUCAUCACUGUGCCAUGGUUCAAGACAUAGCUGCACGACGGCUCAAAACACGACUGUUCCACUACUCAAGCCAUGACCUCUCCAUGGAUUCAGCCCUGUCUGUGCAACUGCUCGUGCCAUGACUGUUCGACGGCUCUAGCCAUGACUAUGGCACGUCUCAAGCAAUGACUGUGCCAUGGAUGAAACCAAGACUGUUCUACGACUGAAGCCCUGUCUGUAGAACGGCUAAAGCCGUGACUGUGCCAGAGUCCGAGUCGUGUCCGUAUGACGGCCUGUCGGAGAAGCCGUCGACUGCUCAAGAAUGGUGUCGGAUUGUGUUAUGUCUCAGUGGUGAGGUCUGGACGCCGUAUAAACCUCGAUGUGACUCGA
This 1079-nucleotide long non-coding RNA is filed under the name Ixodes scapularis (black-legged tick). RNAcentral's name for it is "uncharacterized LOC120842343, transcript variant X1". Lineage: Eukaryota; Metazoa; Arthropoda; Arachnida; Ixodida; Ixodidae. The record is from RNAcentral.